Molecule: small RNA, 204 nt
Filed under: Arabidopsis thaliana (thale cress)
Lineage: Eukaryota; Viridiplantae; Streptophyta; Magnoliopsida; Brassicales; Brassicaceae
Description: ATSL074850
Source: RNAcentral
AAUCCAUGAUAUGCAAUUAUUGUCAUGCUUUGCUGUUAAGUUAAAACUUUUAACCCCACGUCAUGUUAUAAAGACAUUAGAGCAGCAGCAAUGGUGAUCUCAGCAAUGGUGAUCUCUCUUAUGAGUCUCUUAUAAUAAAAAUAAAGAAAAAUAAUUAAAAUGAAAGGGACAGAGGAGAGAGGAGCUCUAAAAACCCUUAUUUAA